RNAcentral lists this long non-coding RNA (398 nucleotides) under Selaginella moellendorffii. Its description in RNAcentral is "long non-coding RNA (SMOE_LNC000876)". The record is from RNAcentral. Lineage: Eukaryota; Viridiplantae; Streptophyta; Lycopodiopsida; Selaginellales; Selaginellaceae.
AUCAUCUUCCGCGUGAGAAUGAGCGAGCAGCAGCGGCAAGGAAUGGCAGCCCUCCGGCGUUCCAACGCCGCUCUCAGGCUGCUCCUGCGCUUGCAAUCGGCAGCCCUGCCAGGCAUUCUUCUCGACGACCCAAAUCAUUCCAUCUCUUUCUUGGAUCUGAUCGAUUUUCACGUUGCUUGCAGCGGAGGCGAGCAACCACCAUCGUCCGAGGCGAGAGGCACCACCAGCUCGGGUAGUUUCCAGUUUCUUGCUUCUUCUAGACUAGCUUCGCUUCGCUUGAUUCUUGCAGAGCCACGAUUCUGCAGCCACUGCUGAGGGGGAUCCACGACGAACUUUGGUGGCGGAUUGCUGCCGCAUGCUGCUGUUCCUGGUGACAGUCGCGGCGAUCGGCUUCAUUC